CCUACGGGAGGCUGCAGUCGAGAAUCAUUCACAAUGGGGGCAACCCUGAUGGUGCGACGCCGCGUUGAGGAAUGAAGGUCUUCGGAUUGUAAACCCCUGUCAUGUGGGAGCAAAUUAAACAGAUCGUACCACACGAGGAAGAGACGGUUAACUCUGUGCCAGCAACCGCGGUAAUACGGAGGUCUCAAGCGUUGUUCGGAAUCCCUGGGCGUAAAGGGUGCGUAGGCGGUUUGGUAAGUCGUGUGUGAAAGGCGCGGGCUCAACCCGCGAACGGCACAUGAUACUGCGAGACUAGAGUAAAGGAGGGGGAACCGGAAUGCUCGGUGUAGCAGUGAAAUGCGUAGAUAUCAAGAGGAACACUCGUGGCGAAGGCGGGUGCCUGGA
RNAcentral lists this ribosomal RNA (384 nucleotides) under uncultured bacterium. RNAcentral's name for it is "partial 16S ribosomal RNA". It matches the Rfam family "Bacterial small subunit ribosomal RNA", at positions 338 to 733 of the family's 1533-position model. The record is from RNAcentral.